UUUUGCGAUUGAUAGAUUUUCAUCAGUUUGUGAUAAAAUCAUGAGAUAGCUAGUAAGUUCUAGACCUCAUCUUUUUGUUUUUUUGUUUUUUUGUUUGCUUUGCAGAGGUGAGGCUGUGUGGAGGUGUCCACAGGUGAGUAUCGGUUUGGUGCCUGCUGAGAACAGAGAUAGGCUUUAAAGUGGUGAAAAUGGAUAACAUGUUUUUGUCCCUUGCAGUGGUGGACCCGGGAGCCAGCCUCCUUCCUCGGCUCAGCUGUGCGACUUGGCCAUCUCUAAUUAUGCCUGCUCUCCGGUAAGUCUUCCAUGAACGGUGCACCUGAAUGCCUGUCCUUGCAAAUACUCCCAUUUCUCUGACUGCACAAAUCUGCCCACUUCUUUCAAGGUUGCAUCCUCCCUGUCCUCUGACGCCCUCGUCACACUGCUGACUUGCAAGGUGCCGAGCAGCGUGAACAGCAGCGCAGAGACGUGGAAGCUUUUCUUCCAGAAAGUCGCGGGAGUUCUGGAGGUUGCUCUGUCAGCGUACUCCAACAACGUGAGUGACACCCCUGCUUUCUGGAACAGGAGAUGGAGUGCUGUCUCUGGGCUCUACAUUGAGAUAUGUCCCUUUGCUUUCACAGACCCUCGGUGGCCAUCAGCCUGAGUCCCGUGUUCUCGAUGCCAUUGGAGAGGUGAAAGUCAACAACUUCAGCGCCGCACAACUGGCAGAUGUCAGCUUCAUUACCGACUGGUUCCAGGGAAGGCUGAGACCAUUCUUGCCUGCAGUCUCCAGGGACUUCCUGUCCUGCCUUAGCUCCAAGAACUUCAGUUGCGACACCUACCAAGUUGUGGUGCAGGCUCUAAGUCGUCAAGCGUCCCUCAUGGAGGUGGGGCAACAACGGGUCGUCUUCACUGAAUUUGUCAAUCCCUUCCUCUCGAGAGACGACCUACCAGGUACUUUAAGCCCUAUCAAUGUCUUGAGUUGCCACCCGUCAUGCUGUAGUUCCUUAGGCAUCCUUCAGCGUCUCGGCUUGUCACGGGUGUUUCGCCAGUUCAAAGGUGUUCUGUUUAAUUCCCCCGAUGUUCAAUCCAGAUCCUGCCUGUCUUGCCAAUACUACGAGCAGCGCUGACUGGCUGGAGAAGAACUUUGGCAACUUCUCCGUCUACGCUACCUUGGAGGACUUGCAAAGGCUGAAUGAAAAUUUCUCCAGCGUGAGUAGCCUUUGGCUUGCUCCAGUUGCCCAUGUGAAUUGUCAUUAUUUUAGGAAUGUAUUUUUGAUCUGAAGUAAACGGCCUCACCUGUGAUGUAUCAUCUGCUGUCCAUGUUGUGCUUCAGUUUGCAUCCUUGGCGCUGCUGAGCCCUAGCCAAGUAGCUGAGCUGACACUGAGCUCCGGAGCGCUGAACAACACCCAUCAGAUCGACGCUGUGUUCGACCGCCUGGAGAAUGGCAACGCUUUCAAGAACGUGGAGGAGUUUCUGACGGCUCUAACCGCAUCUCCUGAGGCAAGUCAAUGAAUCAAAGCGUUUGACAGAGGUCGCGUGGAAGCCAUGAAGACUAGCCCAAAGAACGCUACUUUCACGCUGUGCCAUUCACACUCCCGGUGUUUUAUCCCUGCAGAUUCCCGAUAUCACCCCCGCUGUGAGAGACGUGAUGAUGAACCGAACCUUCGGGAUCAUUGAACUGAAGCUCCCGGGAUUUGUGGCUCAUGACUGGGAAGUGUGGUUCACCGAGAAGCUCAUCCCUGUCCUCCCCAGUUUCACCGCAGGAAUGCUGCUUAAGGUCACAGCUGACAUCAACUGCACCAACUACCAUGUGAUGUGAGUGCCUGAAUGUGGAGAAAGGAAGCUUGUCGAUCUGCAUCGACACGCCCACCUUAACACCCUUCUGUUCCUUUCUGUCGCAGCGUUGAGGGAAUGGGAGAUGUUUUUCGACAAAAAUGACAUUCACCAGGAGGCAGGAGAUGACCAGGGUUCUGGUGGAGCACCUGAAGCAAUUUGCCGUCCCAUACAACAGUCCAGGUAGGCCUUCCAGGGCGUGCUUUCCCGGCACCUCUCUGUUGCCGGGUGGCAUGCGUUGCUGGUUUUGUUUAAGCUGACAGGUCAGGGUUUUUGUGUGUCGGCUUCAUAGCAGCGCACCGACGCAGGCUGAUCUUCUUCCACCCCUAUUUUGAAAAACAGAUUGCAGAAAGGACAUCGGAAACGAUGCUGAGUGGCUUGACAUCAACUUGGGUCUAUUCUCCACGGUGGCCAAUUACUCAGACCUCAAGGAGCUGAACAUCAGUGGGGUAAAUCACCUAUUUUUUUAUUAUGUUUCUCUUCUCACACAGCUUUAAGGGAGUUCUUGGCUGGUAGUGAUUUUUUUGGUUGUUUAUUUGUUUUCUUUUUGUUUUUUUUUUUCUUCAUGUCUUUGGGAAGAGAGCAAAUCACCAACCGUCAUGCGUUAUUUACUUUGUGUCUGGGUUUUGUUCACCUUAGCUGGCAGCUUUGGAAUCCCUGUCACCUGACCAGAAAGCAGAGCUGCUGUUGGAUCCGUCCACCGGUGCUCUUGAAAAUGUGACCGUGGUGAAGGAGGUGUUGAGCAGCAUCCUAAAAGCCCCAGAUGAGGAGCAGCUAGAGAAAUUCUUUUGAAACGUUUGUGGAGGUCAGCAAGGAGGUGAGUCUUUUUUUACAAUUUAUUCUUGUUUUGUUUUUGUUUUUCUCAGUGCAAUUUAUCUAUAAUUGCUUAGACCAAGAAUGUGCUGCUUGUGGGCAAGGAGGCCGUGCUAGAAGGUCCUGUCGUGGUGCUAAAUGUAUCUCUUCCCCCACCCUCCCCUCUCAGGAAAACAUCACCUACAUCACAAACGCGGAAGUCCGGGACGCAAUACUGAACCUGACUUUGACGGCUCUGGCUCCCAAAUUCCCUCUCUUCCAAAACCAGUGACUAUGAGCUGUGGUUCCAAAUUAAUCUCGUGGUCCUGCUGGCCAGCUUCAGUCCUUCAGUUUUGGUGGUGAUCCCCGCCAACCUCACCUGCGACUCUUACGACGCAAUGUAAACAAUCUGGCUCCCUUGGUUUCUUGUCUUAAUUCAGUGAAUAGAAGUAAAUGUUGAGAUUUUCCAUUUUUUUGCACGGUUUCCACAGAUUGAAAGGCAUGGAGAGCGCUUUGGCGGUUCUCCCAACUGGAGUUGGAGUGGAGCUGAAGUCAAGCAUAGACAAACUUCGACAGUCACCACCAGAAGGUAUGGCCUGAGCAGCUCCCUUCAAAUACGUAAAGAUCGCAGUGUUGUUCUUUGGUAAACCAAAAGAGUCCUUACCAAAUGCAGGUGAAUGUAAGCAAUUUGCAAGUGGCCUCCCAUUGACAGAAAUCUUGUUUGUCUUGGUUUUUCCUCAGGCUGCACGCCCCCUCGCCCUGUGGGUUUCGUAAGUACUUCAUUGUCGUACAUGGGUUAUGGGUAAAGUUCAAGCCCAUUAGAAGCUGUACAUAAUGGUUUUCUUAUAUUUUCUUGCUUUGUCUUCCUUCUCGCCAGUGCAAAGAGACAAUAGUGGAUGGUGAGUCAGAACACAGGAUGCUAGUUUUGCGAUUGAUAGAUUUUUCAUCAGUUUGUGAUAAAAAUCAUGAGAUAGCUAGUAAGUUCUAGACCUCAUCUUUUUGUUUUUUUGUUUUUUUGUUUGCUUUGCAGAGGUGAGGCUGUGUGGAGGUGUCCACAGGUGAGUAUCGGUUUGGUGCCUGCUGAGAACAGAGAUAGGCUUUAAAGUGGUGAAAAUGGAUAACAUGUUUUUGUCCCUUGCAGUGGUGGACCCGGGAGCCAGCCUCCUUCCUCGGCUCAGCUGUGCGACUUGGCCAUCUCUAAUUAUGCCUGCUCUCCGGUAAGUCUUCCAUGAACGGUGCACCUGAAUGCCUGUCCUUGCAAAUACUCCCAUUUCUCUGACUGCACAAAUCUGCCCACUUCUUUCAAGGUUGCAUCCUCCCUGUCCUCUGACGCCCUCGUCACACUGCUGACUUGCAAGGUGCCGAGCAGCGUGAACAGCAGCGCAGAGACGUGGAAGCUUUUUCUUCCAGAAAGUCGCGGGAGUUCUGGAGGUUGCUCUGUCAGCGUACUCCAACAACGUGAGUGACACCCCUGCUUUCUGGAACAGGAGAUGGAGUGCUGUCUCUGGGCUCUACAUUGAGAUAUGUCCCUUUGCUUUCACAGACCCUCGGUGGCCAUCAGCCUGAGUCCCGUGUUCUCGAUGCCAUUGGAGAGGUGAAAGUCAACAACUUCAGCGCCGCACAACUGGCAGAUGUCAGCUUCAUUACCGACUGGUUCCAGGGAAGGCUGAGACCAUUCUUGCCUGCAGUCUCCAGGGACUUCCUGUCCUGCCUUAGCUCCAAGAACUUCAGUUGCGACACCUACCAAGUUGUGUAAGUAUCUUCAGUGCUCUGUAAAUCCCGAAGUGGUAGUCAGGGGAGUGGAGUUGAGCAAUCCGUAACGACCGACGAUCUCUCCCGAAAUAGGGUGCAGGCUC
This is a long non-coding RNA of Cyprinus carpio carpio, 4461 nucleotides long. The record is from Ensembl. Lineage: Eukaryota; Metazoa; Chordata; Actinopteri; Cypriniformes; Cyprinidae.